CCUAGCCACUAUACCUCACUACACUUCUUUCCAAUCGUUCCUGUAUCUUCAAGUAUUAGUUAUAAUAGUAGAUUUGAUAAAAACUGUUGGAAUUAUGUAUCGAAUACAUAGAUUCUCUUAGCUGCGGGAUUUCGUUACUAGCCUGUCCCUUUGUUACCAGUUAAGACAUCGUACAAGGGCGUCUAGGCGAUUGCCACCAAGAUUAUGCUAUCGACCAUGAGCUUAAGGUUCAUAUAAUACGCAUUUGCGCUGCAAAAAUUCCAGCAUAUUUAAAGCGAUCGAAAAUCCUGUCAGCCACGGUUGUACAAAUUUUCCUACGGCCAAAUUGCUGGAAAACUCGCAAGGGUGAGGAAGGAGCGUGACCGUCGCUUCGCGGAGCCCCGCAACCCCCCCGCCGCGACCAACCACCACUCCCCGUGGCACCGUUCGAACCCCUAGCCUAGAGAUGCCCGUUUCUACCUCCAAACACCACGGCGCACGCUCCGACGUCGCCUCAGUGACUCUCAACUACCGUUCACCGUGUCUGCGAUAUUCUCUUCCGUCUGCACGUCGCUCCCUGGGGAAAUUUUUCGGCGAGAAGUGUGCCGUGACAGAGGGUUAAUUGGGCAAGACCAAGAAAUACUGGCCUCGCCGAGUCGAUCGUGCUUCCGUGGCGCUGCGAACGGGAUUACCGUGUCGCGAUCUAUGAUAGACGAUGGUUUAAUGGCUCUGGGGACGCUUCUUCGUGAACUGGGACAAUCCUAGGUGAAUUAAGAAUUUAGUGUUCUGCGGUGGAAUCGAAGGAGGAGGAUUGUUAGAGUACGUUCUAGAAUUUUACAUUUGGCAUGGUGUCGCUGUUUGUGAACGAUAAUAUCGGGCCGAAGAUUGGUAGGAAGGAGGAUUGUCGAAGAGGAUUGAUGUAUAGGAUUUUACUUUUUUAUGCAGUGCAUUGUUGUUCGUAAGAGAAAUGUAAGGGACGUGGGACGAUAUCGGAUGAGUUAAGAAUUUACUGUUUAGUGUCUGAGACGGUGAAAUUAUUUAUUAUAUAUGUAUUAUUAAUAAAAGUAUCAUUGGUAUUUUGUACAUUAAAGAAUAAGAAAGAAGAUUCUAUCAUAGGGAUUGAUGUUUGUUAAAGGAAAUUCGAUUCGAUCCAGUAGACAAUACAGCAGACUCUUUAGUUUCCGCAAGUGGGACAGCUAUUAUUUCCAGUAUCUAUCUUACUUUUUGCAAAAAAAAAAGACAUCGUUGCUUUUUAUACGGCGAAGAAGGAAAGUCGUUUGUCAAAGAAAAUCCAAUUUAAUCCAAACGGCAGAACAGAAGGAUCUUAAAUUUUCCAAAAGUGGAUCUACUUACAACUUAUAUUUUAGUUUUUACGAGAAACGUCGUUUUAUAUCAUUUAACUAAUAUAAAUAGAAAAAUAAAUAUACAUAAAGAAAAAAAAAAGAAAAAGAACGAGAUCGGUGUUCAUCAAAGAAAAUCUUCUCCACUAGCGAUCCACGAAACAGUAGAGAAGGUUCCUAAAUUUCCGGAAGUAGGACACCUACAUACAUUUCUAACCUCCAUUCUAGUCUUUCCUCUUUCAACGAACAUUGCUUAUUUAUAAAUCAUAGAAUAAACGGCGAAGGAAAGGAUUCGAUAAAGAAAAUCCGAUUAGUAUCAAGAGACCAGUAAAGAAGGUUCGUAAAAUUUUUACACGACAAAAGAAAAGACAGAGCAAGAAUGAGAACCACUGAAACGCGAUCCGUGCUACUGGGCUACGCGCCACACGGCGCUUUGGCCGACCGACCGACUCUACUCGCACACGAUCCUCCUUCUCCCUCCGCCGUUAUCCGGCUCGCACUCUCAGUCUCUCUUUGUCUGUCUCAUUUUCUACGUCUCUCUACGCUGUACCGGUUCCCUGCCUCGCUACGCCAUGCAAAUCUUCCGUCUUGCACGUUAUGAGGAACGAGCCCUGUCUCUUCUUCCGAGUUUAACCGGAGACCACGCCGCGAUCCAAGGGAUCCCGUUUCCUGUUCGUUCUUCGGGAUGAUCGAGCGGCCUGCAUUAUUCCAUGCCUUGCAUUACGGCCACGAGCUUCUAAUCAUCAGUUUUCAGCCACCAUUUUCACCAUGAAAUUUAGAAUCGGAAAAUCCUCGAAAAUUCGAAAGAGAAAGCGAUCCUGAAAUAUUUCGGCGAGAAAGUUAGGGAUAAAUAACAUUAAACAUUCUAGAAAUUUGAAAGAGCAAGCCAGGCAGAUAAGAUUGAUAAUUCUUUAGAAUUUUAAUAAAAAUGUCAGACAAAUAAGGAAGAAAAACGAGGAAGUUAAAAAAGAAAAAUUGAAAAAUUGCAAAUUUUGAAGGAUAAGCGGGACAAAUAAAGUUGCGAGUUCUCGAAAAUUUGGGAGAAAAAGAUACAUAUAUAAAAUCGAAAGUCGUGUGAAAUAAAAUCGAAGGUGUUUGAAAAUUUGUAAAAACACGACAAACAAAAUUUGAUAGAAAGCAUGUCGUAAGUUGAACGUGCUUCGUGCCAAAAGGGAAGAGGAUAAUUCCCGAGAAGCUUCGAACAAGAGUGAAUCUUUUGUUAGAAUGAUUUGAUACGAGUGGAAAUUUUCCAAAGCAAUUUGCGAACAUCCUCGCUGUGUUGCCUUCUAUUGCUCCUGUUUUCAUUAGCCUGGUCAGCAGAAGGUAGGAUCGAAUGCACUUUUCUGCCAUGAUCUUAACACGAUUGAAAAUCAGGAAAAAAGUGCGGCUUGGAGAACAGACACUGAAACGUUCGCUGGUGUUUUAUAUCGUUUGCUUUCUUGUAAAAGGAGGAAGGUCAUUUAUUGAACCCUUUGAGUUUUAGAAACCCUGGACUCGUGCGAGUAAUCUGAGAUUUAAAAUGUAUUCUUCUGUAAAAGGAAAAAGAAACAAGAAAAAUUCUGUAAAACAAAGAACCUAAUUUAUCACGUCUUUCUCCAAGCUCUUCGUACGUAAAGUUGCAGAACAUGUAGAGAGAAUAUUAUAUAAAGAUCAUUAGCACAUAGGCGCGAUUUUCAACCUGUGUGUAGCAAACAUUUUAAAAAAGUGCAAUACCUGAGUAUUUAAUCAGAAGCACAGACUUCUUUUUCCUCUUAGAUUUUCAAAUAAGUCGUUCUUAAGCUAACGUGGUUAACUCCAUUUUUACAAUUUCACUGUCGAAACACUCGAUCGACGCUUAUGUCGUAUAAUUUCAUCAAUCUCUGUCUAUUGUUCCGCGGAGUAAGUUUAAUUUGACAAACGAGGUGAAUGCCCUCCUAUCUUGAACAUAUAUUUUUUAGCGUGACGUGAAAUUUUAGUAACUAGUACACUGCGGAUUUACAUGCAUUUAUGCGAAAUUUAAGAAUACGAAAAUGCAUACAAUAUGCAUAACGUACAAAAAAAAAAAAAAAAAAAGAAUACAAAGCUUCCAACGUAGCAUAUUCGUUACAAUCUUUGUUAGACGAAACAAGUUUCUAUUUAAAUGUUCCUGUUCCUUUACUUGCACCCAUAAAAAUGUCAAUUCGCAGAAAAAUCCACACUCUAAUAAUUAGUUUCUUUUUUCAUGUGGGCCAUGAGGUGGAAACGGUAGAAAAUUAUUGACGAUACAUCAGCAUCGUAGGUAAUGAGAAUCAGGUCUGAAGGGAACGUGUUAGAAGCAAAACCAAAGCCGUGUCUUUCACCUGAACGCCUUAUGGACGGUCCUCUAAUGGAUUACUUGGGAAACAGCGAUAACUUCUCGCUUGAGAGUCUUGGAAGACAAUCUUGGCAGAAACUAGUGUAACAAGUGCUGAAUAAGGUAAAAGAGGAAUAAUAAUAGAGGUUGUGUCUAUAAGCGUUUGAGUGUAAUAUUCGAAUUUGUAAUUUUAUUGCAAUUCUGGAUGCAGCUGCAUUUGCCACAUGUGGUCUUUUCUACGUAUAAAAACGACAAUAUCUUGAAACUAUAGAACAAUUCGCUAUUGUUAAGCUUUAAGGUUCGGCGCAGACGAAUGACGUUAUUGCAAUUUUACAAUGUUAAUAUUAUACGAUUUGGCAUUCUUUUAUCUUCAAUAACGAGAUUGCACACACGUGUGCAUUUUAUUUUGGUUCUUCGUAUUCUAUUGGUACAACAACAUAAAGCAUAAUAUGGAAAGUUGUUUUAAUAUCAUAUCACCGUUGAGAAAUAUAAAAAUAGAGAAGAUUAUGUACAAAUAAAUUUCCAACUAUUUGUAACUUUUCCUUUGAAAAAAAGCCCGUGUUUUAAAAAAUUGUUCACGGUAAAGGUACAUAUGGUAAAAGUGCGAAGAGUUAAAAUUAAACUAUAAAAUCAGAAAACGAUUAAAGUCAACGAAAAAAGAUCGCUUUAAUCAGUAGAAUUAUUUUUCUACCAGCUCUCCUGAAACUUCUCACUUACCAUCUGAUGGAAAAAUUUUUUAAGCUCACAGGAUCCUCGUUUUAUAAUUCUAUCCAAUCCUACAUCGUCAAUGUUAACAAGAUCGUAUGGUUCUUUCCUGCUAGGCUCUUUACCAAUUAACACACGAGUUCCUGAACAACGUAGACAAAAAGAUAUCGAACAAGAAAAUAUCCUAAUAUUUUUUUCCAACUAUCGAUCGUGCUCGGACGAAAAAAAAAGUCGAGUGGCGGAGGCCUUUACGUUUCGCUAGAACGAAGAAAAGGAAAUUGAAUCGCGAGCCGCACCGGGUUUUCUCGUUGUCAGCGAUUUAAUCAUCGGUCGGCUAUCAACGCCAGCCGACCAUCCUUUCCGGGGGCUUUUCAUUACAGUUCGUUAAAACGACGACUCGAGUCUAGUCGUUUCCAGGCACCGAGCCAUCCUGGUGAGUCAGGUCAUUGCCGGAAUUACUUGAUAAUUACUUCUGACACUGGCGACACGGGAGAAAAAAGAGAAAAAGGAAUAUCGAUACUGUGAACAGGAGUUUUAAGAAGAAUGGUUUCUCGGAUAUUAAUGGCAAGAUUAGGCGAUCGUUGUGCUCGAAGAUUAAUUAGAGGGACGGAAAAGGAAUUAUUAAGCAUCGCCGUAAUUGCUGCUCUUCGUUUCUAUAGGCAGCCGAUUUCGAUUAAAUUAAGUUUCAAUUAUUAAAUUCAAUUUUCAAUUGGUAUUUUGUUUCUACAAAUAUAGAUGGAUGGUUGUAGUACUUCGAUCAAUUAAGCGUGAUUUAUUAUUUGAAAUAUAUUUCAAAUAUGUAAAAUUAGUCGAUCGUAAUUAGUGCUCUGUUUUUAUAUCAAUAUGAACAAAAUAAGAUUGUAAUAUGUGGAUUAAAAAAUGUACGUUUGAAUCGUUAAAUUUAAUUUUCGCAGCAUCUGUUUUUGUAGAUAGAGGUUGCAAAAUUUGGAUUAAGUAGAUGCGAGUUGUUAUCUGCAAUGUUUGAAAUAUACAGGGUGGUUGGUAACUGAUGGUACAAGCGGAAAGGGGGUGAUUCUACGCGAAAAAGAAGUCGAAAAUAUAGAAUAACAAUUUUUCGUCUGAGGCUUUGUUUUCGAGAAAAUCGACUUUGAAUUUUCGUUUGGUACGCGUGCACUUUAUCACGUCUCGUUAUAACGGAUCUCACUGUAGAUGGAAAAAUUAAAAAAAAAAUUUUUAUCCUAUAUUUUCCAUUUCUUUUUUCGCGCAGAAUCACCCCCUAUCCGCUUGUACUACCAGUUACUAACCACCCUGUAUAAAAUUAAUUGAUCAUAGUUUUGGGAUUAAUUAGCUGGAUGAAGAAGGUAUUAUUAAGUAUGAUUAUAUUUACUGUUUCUAUACAUACAAGUGGGUGAUUGUAUUAUUUGGGUUAAGUAGCUGCAAGCCAUUAUUUGUAGUACAGGUACGGAAAUUUAUUGGUGGAAGUGUGAAAGAAUUUGACCAAUCGCGGUUAUUAUUCUUGGUUACCUAAAACGCACAGCUCAGCUGCAGUAGAACGAGUACAUUCCAGGUCAGACUUGAAUUAUCGCUUGACUAAAAUUCAGAACGAAAAUAAUUGGAAGCUGCAUAUAUGGUACCAAUAUAUUUAUUAUACGUGCAACACGACCACUCAAUAUUAAUCGUCGAAACAAUGUUCAAAAGCAACAAUUGAAUUCCAAAAAUUUAAUUACCCAGCCUUAUAGCGUUGUGCUCAAAAUUACUUUGUUUUCCAACUAGAAAUUGUACGUCAUGCUAUGCUUUUUUCUCUUUCCAAUUAUCAUACACUAUCGUAUUGAACUAUCAACUAUGCCAUUCAAACAUCAUUCUCCACUUUCUCCCAAUCGAUCACAGGAAGCGCGCCAAGAGCUAAAUCUUCCUUUCCAAACCUAAUUCACAAGGCCCACAACUGGAAGCACGCUUGCUGCCAACUAAAUCAACUGUCACAAACUUGGGACACCUGAACACCGUCCCAAAACUCUCUUCCUCUCAAUCGAUCACACAAAGCUCACCAAGAACGAAACUUCCCUUGCAAACUUAAUUUACCAGAUCCACGAUCACGAAUACGCUUUUGACCGCGUGAACCAACCAUCACAAACCUGGCCAACUGCUCCAUCCUCGAUUUCGCCUCGAUCGAUCACACAAAGCACACCAACGAUAAAACUUCUCUUCCCAAGCCUGAUUUACAAGAUCCACAAUUUCAAGUACACGCUUCCUGCCAUCCGAACCAUCAACUAUCACAAACCUGGCCAGCUACUGCAUCCAAUUCUCCCUCGAUCGAUCGUACAAAGCACACCAAGUACGAAACUUCUCUUUCCAAACCUAAUUUAUAAGCUGCACAAUUAGAAGCCUCGGUUUCUUCCAACUUCUAUUUUCGGCUGUUCCCUCUCAUCUUGCCCAACCGUCACAAACCUAAUCACCGUUUAUCCAACCUCGAAACCAUUCGCCAUCGUCUUCCAAUUAAUCAUGUACUUUUAAUCGUGUUCUCAAAUACACGACCAGUCGUCCAAUAACGCGAAUCAUCGAAAAUACGGCUUGCCGAUAAAUAACACAAAAGCCAGCUCAAAGAGCAAAAUAGAAGGACAGCGAGAGAGAGAGAGAGAGAGA
Molecule: long non-coding RNA, 6936 nt
Organism: Bombus huntii
Lineage: Eukaryota; Metazoa; Arthropoda; Insecta; Hymenoptera; Apidae
Exons: 3
Source: RefSeq, a predicted model, not a curated record